GACGAACGCUGGCGGCGUGCUUAACACAUGCAAGUCGAACGGAAAGGCCCUGCUUUCGUGGGGUGCUCGAGUGGCGAACGGGUGAGUAACACGUGAGUAACCUGCCCUUGACUUUGGGAUAACUUCAGGAAACCGGGGCUACUACCGGAUAGGAGCUCCUGCUGCUGGGUGGGGGUUGGAAAGUUUCGGCGGUUGGGGAUGGACUCGCGGCUUAUCAGCUUGUUGGUGGGGUAGUGGCUUACCAAGGCUUUGACGGGUAGCCGGCCUGAGAGGGUGACCGGCCACAUUGGGACUGAGAUACGGCCCAGACUCCUACGGGAGGCAGCAGUGGGGAAUAUUGCACAAUGGGCGGAAGCCUGAUGCAGCAACGCCGCGUGCGGGAUGACGGCCUUCGGGUUGUAAACCGCUUUCGCCUGUGACGAAGCGUGAGUGACGGUAAUGGGUAAAGAAGCACCGGCUAACUACGUG
This 468-nucleotide ribosomal RNA is filed under the name uncultured bacterium. RNAcentral's name for it is "partial 16S ribosomal RNA". It matches the Rfam family "Bacterial small subunit ribosomal RNA", at positions 28 to 507 of the family's 1533-position model. The record is from RNAcentral.